Molecule: long non-coding RNA, 5098 nt
Filed under: Equus caballus (horse)
Lineage: Eukaryota; Metazoa; Chordata; Mammalia; Perissodactyla; Equidae
Description: lncRNA (ENSECAG00000053360.1)
Source: RNAcentral
AUUUUAUCUGUGAUCCAGAUCAGCCUAGAAUGCUAUUAAUUUGGAUUUGACUGCCAGCAGAAAACAACAUUCACUAAUAUCCACUUUUUAGCUAGGUAAUCGUGUAGUAAUUAGGAUGCGUGUUGUACAUAAUCUUGAUUUGAAUAAUCCUCGCUUAGUUUUUUGUCUACAUAGACAAAAAAGCUAUUUUGUCAGUAUUUUGGAAGUAGGAAAUCAUCUUGAUUAUUUUAAUCAAAAUCAGCAUUUGUGAAUUGUGGCAUUCUUUUAGGAACAAUUAGUGUACAAGGCAGAGAUUUGUCUCUCUGCCCUGCGUUGUAGAUUCGUCUUGAAUGCAUUAAGAUAGAGCAAAAGAGGCAGUCUCGGGGCCCCAGACUCACACAUGCUGGCCUCGUCUCUAGGUCCUGGUGGCCUGAGGGCUAGCUUUGGUGGCGAUUCUGUAUGAGCUCUACUGACAGCUCUGCCACUCAGGAGUGGGGACCUUGGGCAAAUGAUGGCACCUCAGUUUCCUCUUUUGUAAACAGGGAGACUGAUAUCUACGUGGGAAUUAGUUACAGCAUGUUGGACUUCUCCCAGUGUCGUUUCUUUAUGCUUUUGUCACCAAGACACGGCGUCUCACAGUGAUCUAGGGCAGCGGUCGGCCAGCCUCUUCUGUGAAGAGCUGGACAGUAAAUAUUUUAGGCCUCGUGGGCCAUAUGUUCUUUGCUGUAGCUACUCAGCUCUGCCGUGUAGUUCAAAAGCAGCCAGGGAGGAUACAUAGAUGAAUGGGCGUGGGUUUGGUCCAUGGGCCAUGGUUUGCCAAGCUCUCAUCUGGAGCGAGUCUUUGGAAUCAGACAAACAUAAUUUGGGAUCUGAUCUGACGCUCAGCUAUUGCAUGCGACCUUGGACAAAGUACGUAAGUUCUCGUUUCUCCGUAUCAACACAGGCUGGAGUGAGGGUUAGGUGAAGUAGCAGAGGAAGAGCGUUAGCACAGAGCUGGGCACCCGGCGCAGGAAGUAGUCUCCAAUACUCUUACCUCUCACUGCCUGUAUCUCUUUCCUGGAGCUUCAGCCAUUCCUUUCCUCUGCUCCAGCUAAUAGAAGGUGAAGAAGGGUAAGACACAGGGCCAGUGGCCUGGGCUCAGGGGCCUUCAGGGUGGACCAUGAGCUCUGUAACUGGAGAAGCUGGUGUUGGAGAGGUGACACCCUGGGGCUGUUCCCAGGACCGAUGCCCAGCUUGGCAGAGUGGAUGGUCCUUUAUAGCAAGUGUCCUUUUCUGUCUACUUAGUGCCAUGAUUUUCACAUUUUUGUGUUUUUUGUUGGUGAUUUGGAAACAGCCCCCGAGUGUAGUACAGAAGUGCUGUCUAGCGUUCCUAAGUACAAGAAAGCUGUGAUGUGCCUCACAGUGAAAAUCCUUGUGUUAGGUAAGGUUUAUUCAGGCAUCAGUUGUAGCGCUGUUGGCCAUGAGUUCAAUGUUAAUGAAUAAACAAUAUCUGUUAAAUAAUAUGUCUUUAAAUAGAAACACACAUAAAACAAGGUUGUGUAUUUACUGAUUCUUGAAAACAUGCCCAGAGGCUCGCAGGAACCUAGUGUUGUGUUUUCCAGAGGAGUGAUGGUUUAGUAUUUGCUAAUUCAGACUUCCGGUGACUUUCUAGAACAGAGCUAUGACAAAUAAUGAGGAUCAACUGCAUUAGGUCCUACGUCCCUUAACAAGAAUGGUUCCAGCUGUAUCAUGAGAGUGAGAACCUGAUUGUGGCGUUUUGAGGAUCGAAUGGGAGGGGCUGAAGUGUAGAUGGCGAGUGUACACGUGUCCUUCGAGAAGCUGAAGUGGGGUGAGAAAGCCCGGGGAGAUGUUUUUACUCGUGGUAGGUGCUCCAUAAAUGAUUUUUGAUUGAAUUGAGAGAGAAACCCGAAAUUUAAGUUCCUUAAUGAAUUCUAUGUUUCACCUUAGCUGGACUCUUCCUGUCACUUUGGAGAAUCUUUAAUCUUGAUUAAAUAAUUAAAUUUCUAUCAAGAAUUACCCUGAAGUACAUUACAUAGAGUUGUCCAUGUGAGAAGCAGUUGGGUUACAAAAUAAUAUCUGUGAUUUGGGUCAUCCAUCUUUGUGGCUUUCAACUUAGAUUUGAAUAUUGUGUUUUUAAAACCUGUCCUUUUGGGGGCCGGCCCCGUGGCUGAGUGGUUAAGUUCGUGCGCUCCGCUGUAGUGGCCCAGGGUUCGGAUCCUGGGCGCAGACAUGGCACUGCUCGUCAGGCCACGUUGAGGCGGCGUCCCAUAUGCCACAACUAGAAGGACCUGCAACUAAGAUAUACAACUAUGUACCAGGGGGGAUUUGGGGAGAUGAAGCAGGGAAAAAAAAAAAGAUUGGCCACAGUUGUUAGCUCAGGUGCCAAUCUUUAAAAAAAAAAAAAAAAAAAAAAACACCUGUCCUUUUGGUUAGGAUUGCCAGAGAAAAUAUAGGAUGCCCAGUUGCAUCUGAAUUUCAGAUAAACAACAAAUACGUUUUUAGAAUAAGUAUGUUCCAUGCGCUACUUGCUGAAUCUGGCAACUUUGCAGAUGGUGCCUUAGUAUGGUUGACCUGUCUGCUUGGAUUGGUGUGACUCUGGCAUCUUGUGGAACUCCUGUGUCAGUGGACAGAGGGAUUUGGGAUUUCGCCAGCAUCUCUCCUGAGUGAAUUUCAGUCUGAUGCAUAUUAAGGCAGACCAUUGCAAAAAUACUGUCCAGCUUGCCAAUUGUAGGUGAUGUGCUAAUAUUCAGAAAGAAAUCUAAUUUCAUUCUCAUUCCCAUGUAGUUUUCCUGGCAGCACAGGGAGGAAUGAGGUGUGGUUGACUGUGGAUCUGGAAGCCUGUGGAUCAUCUCAGCUUCAUCCCUGACCUGCUGUGUGACCUUCAUAGGGCACUUCACCAUUCUGGGCCCGGGUUCUUUGGAUCUGAAAAUCAAGGCCUUAAGGGAAGAGGUCCCCAAGGCCUUUUCCAGCUGUAAAACUCAAUGAAACAUUGAAAAGAAACAUUCGUGAUCUGUUUAGGGGAGAGCAGCCUCUGAAUCAUUACCAAGACUCUGCACCAAAGGCGAAAAUUUUCUCCUGCUGGAGAAUGCCUGGAAACAGAUGCUGCUGCUAUGCAAAUGGCUCCCAGUGUACAAACGGGUAAAGGCAGGGCAGGCUGCAGCCAGGGGCUACACUCCAUGAAUAAUAACCAUGUGGUGCUGACGGUGACAGCAAAGGCUUCCUUGUGCCCGGUGCUUACAUUAUACCCAGGCACUGUUCCAGGCGCUUCACACGCCUUAUCUCCAGAUCCCACAGUAGCUCCCACCGUGCAACAAUCCACAUAGCACUAGCCUGAUUCUUUCUCUCUUCUCAUUGGGCAGGGGAUAUGGAUUGGGGGACCAGGGAAGGGAAAAAUGAUUCAUGUUCUAAGGCUGGAGAGGACAGACAAAAUGAUCAUUAUCCUUCUUUUGGAGAUCAGGAAAUUGAGGCUCAGAGAGGUUAAUUGGCUUUCUAGGUCUCCUGCACACCAGCAGCAAAGCUGAUGUUAGAACCCAAGACUCUGGCUCCAAAACCCCCUUGACUAUAUCUUCAGCCUGGCCAUAAACAGGCGAAAAUUCAAAUGGCCUCUCUGACGUCGACACUUUUAUUCCCAGGACCGUAGAAAUGGAGAGCUGUGAAGUCAAGAGCUUAGCCUUGAUUACCUGGUCUGGCAGGUGAAAGCCUGUUUGUAUUUCACACAUAGAUUGAAUUUCUUGAAUCAGACCUGGCAAACACUCUCAUAUAGUGGACUCUCUGAUUUAAGGUAAAAAGCUGUGAUUAAAUAUAACCAUCCUUGUGAAUCACAACAGAAAUACAGUGUGCAGGUCGAUCUCUCCUGCUGUGCAUCCCUUGGGGCUUUAACUCUAACAGGUAAUACAUUUGCAUUUAUUUGCAUACAGGCUUAAUGUUUUGAAACAGUGCAUCACUUCAGGGGUGGAUUGCCUCAUUCGUGAGGACUUUGGUGGUGCAAAUAAAGCCAAGCCUUCCAUUCUGAGGAGGCAAUAAAAGCCGAGAAAAGAGAGCACGGGACCAGGACCUUAAGUUCAGCCCUUACCUUGGACACAGCCUCUCUAGAGGUGGAAGGUGCCGUCUUCACAAGUUGCACAAGUUGGUCCCCCUGCCAGGGAUGCGCUCACUAGAUCUGCUCUCGUGACGGACAUUCACGGGAUGGGGAAGGGAUGACCUGGCCUGAGGUGGGCGUAAUCCCCCACCCAUGUCACGUUAGCCUGAUUGCCUUCUUUUCUUCAAGGGGCGUUGACCUGGGUGAUGAGGGAAGGCAAGACUGAUUCACUUCUACAGCCUCUGGGGCCAGGCUCAAGGGGAUGGAUGAAGGAGACAGGACUUCAUCCAGAAUGAGCUCCCAGCUGAGAGGCGAUGAGGUGCAGGUGCCCAGCUAGGGGAGGAAAGAGCGGGGCUUGAAAGUUUGGGAAGAGGUUGCUGAGUUCACAAAUUUUUUUCUGGGAGCGUAAUUAUCAGAGAGUAAUGACUCGCUUUGAACUAUGAGAAUGGGGCUGGAUUCCUCUAUCAGGUAUAAAGCUCCAUUCAAAGACUCGAUUGCCAUGUAAUCCGAAAAGCCGAGGUAUAAAAUUUGCUUUAAUAAAAACGAUCAAAUUGAUUCCAAAGCAAUCAUGCCUGAUACUGGGGGGCCAGGCCUCCUAAGUACUUCACAGGAGCAUCUCAUUUAAUACUUUUGUUUGUUUGUUUUGAGGAAGCCCUGAGAUAACUGCUGCCAAUCCUCCUCUUUUUGCUGAGGAAGACUGGCCCUGAGCUAACAUCCAUGCCCAUCUUCCUCUACUUUAUAUGUGGGAUGCCUACCACAACAUGGCGUGCUAAGCGGUGCCAUGUCUGCACCCAGGAUCUGAACUGGCGAACCCCUGGCCGCCGAAGCGGAAAGUGCACGCUUAACCGCUGCUCCACCAGGCUGGCCCCUCAUUUAAUUCUUACCACACCGCUGUGAAGCCCAGAUUAUUACACCCAUUUAAUAGGUGAGAAAAUUAAGGCUCAGAGGCUAAAGUAACUUGCCUGAGGUCACACAGAUGAGUAAGUAGGGAGGUCAGGUUUUAAACUCAGGUCUGUUUGGUUCCGAAACUUAAGCUCUUUA